AUACGGAGGGUCCGAGCGUUAUCCGGAUUUAUUGGGUUUAAAGGGUGCGCAGGCGGCCAUUUAAGUCAGCGGUUAAAUCGUGGGGCUCAACCCCAUUCUGCCGUUGAUACUGGGUGGCUUGAUUGCGGUCGAGGUUGGCGGAAUUCGUUGUGUAGCGGUGAAAUGCAUAGAUAUGACGAAGAACUCCGAUCGCGAAGGCAGCUCACCGGGCCGGAACUGACACUUAUGCUCGAAAGUGCGGGUAUCAAACAGGAUUAGAUACCCUGGUAGUCCGCACAGUAAACGAUGAAUACUCGCUGUUUGCGAUACACGGUAAGCGGCCAAGCGAAAGCGUUAAGUAUUCCACCUGGGGAGUACGCCGGCAACGGUGAAACUUAAAGGAAUUGACGGGG
RNAcentral lists this ribosomal RNA (392 nucleotides) under uncultured bacterium. RNAcentral's name for it is "partial 16S ribosomal RNA". It matches the Rfam family "Bacterial small subunit ribosomal RNA", at positions 523 to 918 of the family's 1533-position model. The record is from RNAcentral.